GAAAUUGUCCUGAACAGCAUUCUAUGUUCUAGUCUCCCUGCUAGAAACAGGAUGUCCUUCAUGCCUUAUCCCAGAGUUUCCUGGGACCCUGGUAUAUAAGACCCAGGAUUGCUGUUUUCUAGAGUCCUCCAGGGUCAGUGCAAGGGGGACACAUGCAGAUAAAAUUCCGUCUAACCCAGGCAGCUUUUCUGAGCCUCAGGGAACCAGCUCACAGUGAAUCCCAAGUUUCUGUUACUCCUUGCCGCCCAUCUAUAAACUGACUUCAUGGAUGUUCGGAUGUGUGUGCGGAUGUUCUGACUCAUUGGACUCGGACAAAGAAAAAAACCCAUGUGAGAACACAAAGAGAAGACAGCCAUCCACAAGCCAAGGAAUGAAGCGUCAAAAGAAUCUAUACUUGUCAACAUCAUGAUCUUGGGCCCUCAGCCUCUGAACUAUGAGAAAAUAAAUCUCUGCUGUUUAAGACACCUAGUUUGUGGUAUUCUGUUCU
Molecule: long non-coding RNA, 487 nt
Filed under: Homo sapiens (human)
Lineage: Eukaryota; Metazoa; Chordata; Mammalia; Primates; Hominidae
Description: HSALNT0325983
Source: RNAcentral